UAGUAAGAAGCGAAAAUCGCCUUCAAUUUCGGCUUGAAUUUUGCUACAAGAUAGCCUUACUUU
Molecule: transfer RNA, 63 nt
Filed under: Anurida maritima
Lineage: Eukaryota; Metazoa; Arthropoda; Collembola; Poduromorpha; Neanuridae
Description: tRNA-Arg
Source: RNAcentral